This 70-nucleotide transfer RNA is filed under the name Phytophthora infestans (potato late blight agent). RNAcentral describes it as "tRNA-Pro". It matches the Rfam family "tRNA". Rfam says of the family: Transfer RNA (tRNA) molecules are approximately 80 nucleotides in length. Their secondary structure includes four short double-helical elements and three loops (D, anti-codon, and T loops). The record is from RNAcentral. Lineage: Eukaryota; Oomycota; Peronosporomycetes; Peronosporales; Peronosporaceae. RNAcentral also lists the same sequence under 1 other name.
ACCCUUUUAGCUCAGUGGUCGAGCGUUGGCUUUGGAAGCCAUAGGUCGGUGGUUCGAGCCCACCAGGGCA